Molecule: long non-coding RNA, 1565 nt
Organism: Strongylocentrotus purpuratus (purple sea urchin)
Lineage: Eukaryota; Metazoa; Echinodermata; Echinoidea; Camarodonta; Strongylocentrotidae
Exons: 3
Source: RefSeq, a predicted model, not a curated record
CAGUGACGAGAUGUCGUUGAUCUUGUAGUUAUGACGGUUUUGAGAAACGGCCCCCGGAUUGACAACAGCUUUUAGCUUGCUGCUUGCAUCGAGAUCGAUCCUAUUUCUGCAGUAUUUACAGUGUUUUGACAGUCUUUAGCUCACUUAGCAGCAUGGAUGAGGGAGGGGUGCUAGUUGAGAGAACCAACAAUCCAAGAAAAAGGAAGCGAAAUGAAAAAUAAUGGGCCAAAAACCAGAACACGGAAGAUCAUAACACCGCUCCUGGGAAGCAACCAGCCAUUGGAUGCCAGCACAUACCUCACAGCCUUUGUAAGGCGUCUUUGCUGACAGAAGGAGACAUCACAGAUACUUUCCAGGACUGCUACAGAGACUUGAACAACCGCGGCAAGAUUCAUUCAUCAUGUGCCACUUACAACUCAAUCCAGUCAUGCGCCAUCGAGUAAAUGGUCCACAACCAAGGAGAGAGCGGAACUAUGCCCCAACAUUUCCAAAUUACGACACAGCAAGGGGAAAAUGUGGAGGUGUGCUCCGGAAGAUUCAGAUCCAUCCUUGUACUUGGUAGGAAACGUCUGGGCAACCUUAUGAAGUACGCCUGCCAUUCAAAAUCACAGAGGCCAAACGCAUCUACGUGAGACCAGCUCCAGCCCCAGUCACUGUCGCCAAGUAUUAUAGCGCACCUGGAGAUGAGUACACCAUGUUAAAGAGAGGAAAGAGAUGGAGUACUCUUCGGGUCAAUCAGCUCCCAUUGCUGAAGCAGCGGGAUGUAGCAAAUCUUCUACGAGCGAUGGGGGUGGAGCUACAAGUGGACCCGCUAGUAGGGUAUGGGCCACGCAACUUCAUUCAGGAAGUAGGUGCCUUUUACAAAGAGGUGUGCGCGCCUACUGAUGCAAUGGACGUAGAGAGUGAUGAGGACGAAGGCAUCAUUGCUGCCUAUGAAGAUUGACAUUUGAUUUUAUGCCUUUUACACAAUUAAUGGAUCAGUUUAAACUAUUUCAUUCAAGAACAAAGAAGGCUUCUAAAAUGUGCAUUCAUUGAGCAGUGCAGUUGGAAUCAAAUCCCGUUUUAUUACCCAUGUAUGCAUUUUGUUGUAAGUAGCGCUGGUAAUUAUUAAUGCAAAUUUACUAAACCAGAAUGCAUGCACACAGAUAAUUAAUAUUUGGCGCUUUGCUACCUUCACUGUAUAAUAACAACUAAUUGAUUGUGGCUAAUCUCACAACUUUACAGUAGAUUGUAGUGAUAUUGUAUGGGUAGAGUUUUAUUGCUCCUACUUCCAUUAGGAUGUUAACAAACAAUUAUUCAAAUAAUAUGUAUGCAUAAUCAGCACUCAAGUAUGUAUUUUAUCUGCUGUUUAUGAGGAGUCGGUUACAUUAGUGAACUAUGAAUAAUUUCCAUUGUAUGGUAUCUUCUUGUUGACACUCAUAUGAUAUUGUUAAAGAAACUGUACAUUAAUGACUUUAUGUUAAUUAUUUAAGUACUUGCCAAUUUUUGUAUGUCUUAAUUAACUCACCGUUAUGACAUGAGAUAAUGAGUAAAGCAAAUUUACAAGAUUUUCAAAUUUCACACAA